Gossypium arboreum is the source of this 332-nucleotide long non-coding RNA. RefSeq lists it as uncharacterized. NCBI's taxonomy places the organism in Eukaryota, Viridiplantae, Streptophyta, Magnoliopsida, Malvales, Malvaceae. The record is from RefSeq and is a predicted model, not a curated record. The transcript has 2 exons.
UUUGAAUUAGCUCAAGAGCUUAGAGGGCCACAGUUGGAUAAGGGAAAGGAAAAAGUGAUCGAAUAGCCGUUGAAGCCGUUCGACAACAUCCGAGAUUUUGCUCGUUAGCUAUCGGAUUCGGGAUCAUCGAAGUCGAAGUCAUCCACACUAUCAAAGCCCUUUUGGUACUCUUUUAGUUGAACUCGGGAUAUGGCAUGUAUAGGACUACCCUUUGUUGUUUUUCAAGUACUUUUUGUGAUGUAUGUGUGUACAGCCAUGCGAAAAUGGCUCGUAGAAGUGGAGUAUGGCAUUAGACCAUUUGUGUUUAUGUAAAUAUAUAUAUGGUUUCAUGA